RNAcentral lists this ribosomal RNA (474 nucleotides) under Triticum aestivum (bread wheat). Its description in RNAcentral is "partial small subunit ribosomal RNA". Lineage: Eukaryota; Viridiplantae; Streptophyta; Magnoliopsida; Poales; Poaceae. The record is from RNAcentral.
AUGAGACGGGAUGUUGAGCGUUUUGUUGCUCGCUGCACUACAUGUCAAAAAGCUAAGUCACGACUCAAUCCUCAUGGUUUAUAUAUGCCUUUGCCUGUACCUAGUGUUCCUUGGGAGGAUAUAUCUAUGGACUUUGUUUUAGGUUUACCUCGAACAAAGAAGGGGAGGGAUAGCAUAUUUGUUGUCGUGGAUAGAUUCUCGAAAAUGGCGCACUUUAUACCAUGUCAUAAAAGCGAUGAUGCUGUUAAUGUUGCUGAUUUGUUCUUUCGUGAAAUUAUUCGCUUGCAUGGUGUGCCAAAUACUAUUGUUUCAGAUCGUGAUACUAAAUUUCUUAGCCACUUUUGGAGAUGUUUAUGGGCUAAGUUGGGGACUAAACUGCUUUUUAGUACUACUUGUCACCCCCAAACUGAUGGACAAACUGAAGUAGUCAAUAGAACAUUGUCUACUAUGCUUAGGGCUGUUUUGAAAGAAUAA